RNAcentral lists this ribosomal RNA (465 nucleotides) under Vreelandella stevensii. Its description in RNAcentral is "partial 16S ribosomal RNA". It matches the Rfam family "Bacterial small subunit ribosomal RNA", at positions 338 to 795 of the family's 1533-position model. Lineage: Bacteria; Pseudomonadati; Pseudomonadota; Gammaproteobacteria; Oceanospirillales; Halomonadaceae. The record is from RNAcentral.
CCUACGGGAGGCAGCAGUGGGGAAUAUUGGACAAUGGGGGGAACCCUGAUCCAGCCAUGCCGCGUGUGUGAAGAAGGCCCUCGGGUUGUAAAGCACUUUCAGUGAGGAAGAACGCCUGGUGGUUAAUACCCAUCAGGAAAGACAUCACUCACAGAAGAAGCACCGGCUAACUCCGUGCCAGCAGCCGCGGUAAUACGGAGGGUGCGAGCGUUAAUCGGAAUUACUGGGCGUAAAGCGCGCGUAGGUGGCUUGAUAAGCCGGUUGUGAAAGCCCCGGGCUCAACCUGGGAACGGCAUCCGGAACUGUCAAGCUAGAGUGCAGGAGAGGAAGGUAGAAUUCCCGGUGUAGCGGUGAAAUGCGUAGAGAUCGGGCGGAAUACCAGUGGCGAAGGCGGCCUUCUGGACUGACACUGACACUGAGGUGCGAAAGCGUGGGUAGCAAACAGGAUUAGAUACCCCAGUAGUC